This 468-nucleotide ribosomal RNA is filed under the name uncultured bacterium. RNAcentral describes it as "partial 16S ribosomal RNA". It matches the Rfam family "Bacterial small subunit ribosomal RNA", at positions 28 to 507 of the family's 1533-position model. The record is from RNAcentral.
GACGAACGCUGGCGGCGUGCUUAACACAUGCAAGUCGAACGGAAAGGCCCUGCUUUUGUGGGGUGCUCGAGUGGCGCACGGGUGAGUAACCCGUGAGUAACCUGCCCUUGACUUUGGGAUAACUUCAGAAAACUGGGGCUAAUACCGGAUAGGAGCUCCUGCUGCAUGGGGGGGGUUGGAAAGUUUCGGCGGUUGGGGAUGGACUCGCGGCUUAUCAGCUUGUUGGUGGGGUAGUGGCUUACCAAGGCUUUGACGGGUAGCCGGCCUGAGAGGGUGACCGGCCACAUGGGGACUGAGAUACGGCCCAGACUCCUACGGGAGGCAGCAGUGGGGAAUAUUGCACAAUGGGCGGAAGCCUGAUGCAGCAACGCCGCGUGCGGGAUGACGGCCUUCGGGUUGUAAACCGCUGUCGCCUGUGACGAAGCGUGAGUGACGGUAAUGGGUAAAGAAGCACCGGCUAACUACGUG